GGAAACUCUCCCAGCUUCUCCCAAGGAUCUGGGAAGACACUCCGAAUUUGCUGCAAUAGAAAAGCUGUUGGCCAAAGUACAAGCCUGAAGAAAAUAACACACCUUGCCACUGGACAAAGAGGAUGGUGGAAGGGAAGGGCUUAUGAAGAUUCAGCUGAAAGACUCUGGAUGCUAGAGGCUGAUACCAUGUGGCAGGAGCCAGGAGCCAGUGUAGCUGCGAGGAAAGGGACCCACAGAGACUGCGCCAGCUUAUCUCACCUGUGCAGAGGCUGACAAGUACAUUCCCUGUUUGAUGGGCUAAUUAUGGAAGCACACUGGAGUCGUCGUAGUUAAGUUUGUAACUAGCUUUGAGCUGUAAGGCCAGUUUUGAUGUCUCGUCUAACUAUUCUGGAAUAAAUCCCUGCAAGAGAAAUUUAAGUUAUAUGGAAUGGUUGGAAAAAAUUUUGUGAAGUUUUGUGGCUAUUGCAACAUUUAGUAUUUUAGUGUUAGAAAUUAUUUUCUACCUUUUUGACCUCUCAGAAGUGUUGCUUAUCUCUAUGCUGGGAAAGUAUGUCAUGUUAAAUGUUGUUACUGUUGGAUAGGUUUAGCCAGUUCUGAAUGAGUCUUGGAGAGCCUAUUAAAUCUAUCAAUCAUCGGGAGGGGAAUUUCAGCAUUUC
Zonotrichia leucophrys gambelii is the source of this 656-nucleotide long non-coding RNA. RefSeq lists it as uncharacterized. The transcript is spliced from 4 exons. NCBI's taxonomy places the organism in Eukaryota, Metazoa, Chordata, Aves, Passeriformes, Passerellidae. The record is from RefSeq and is a predicted model, not a curated record.